Molecule: ribosomal RNA, 253 nt
Filed under: uncultured bacterium
Lineage: Bacteria
Description: partial 16S ribosomal RNA
Rfam family: Bacterial small subunit ribosomal RNA
Source: RNAcentral
UACGAAGGGGGCUAGCGUUGCUCGGAAUCACUGGGCGUAAAGCGCACGUAGGCGGAUUGCUAAGUCAGGGGUGAAAUCCUGGAGCUCAACUCCAGAACUGCCUUUGAUACUGGCGACCUUGAGUCCGGGAGAGGUGAGUGGAACUGCGAGUGUAGAGGUGAAAUUCGUAGAUAUUCGCAAGAACACCAGUGGCGAAGGCGGCUCACUGGCCCGGUACUGACGCUGAGGUGCGAAAGCGUGGGGAGCAAAAGGG